UGGCUUCGGCUAUCACUUUUGGAUGGUCCCGCGGCGUAUUAGCUAGAUGGUGGGGUAACGGCUCACCAUGGCAAUGAUACGUAGCCGACCUGAGAGGGUAAUCGGCCACAUUGGGACUGAGACACGGCCCAAACUCCUACGGGAGGCAGCAGUAGGGAAUCUUCCACAAUGGACGAAAGUCUGAUGGAGCAACGCCGCGUGAGUGAAGAAGGGUUUCGGCUCGUAAAACUCUGUUGUUAAAGAAGAACAUAUCUGAGAGUAACUGUUCAGGUAUUGACGGUAUUUAACCAGAAAGCCACGGCUAACUACGUGCCAGCAGCCGCGGUAAUACGUAGGUGGCAAGCGUUGUCCGGAUUUAUUGGGCGUAAAGCGAGCGCAGGCGGUUUUUUAAGUCUGAUGUGAAAGCCUUCGGCUCAACCGAAGAAGUGCAUCGGAAACUGGGAAACUUGAGUGCAGAAGAGGACAGUGGAACUCCAUGUGUAGCGGUGAAAUGCGUAGAUAUAUGGAAGAACACCAGUGGCGAAGGCGGCUGUCUGGUCUGUAACUGACGCUGAGGCUCGAAAGUAUGGGUAGCAAACAGGAUUAGAUACCCUGGUAGUCCAUACCGUAAACGAUGAAUGCUAAGUGUUGGAGGGUUUCCGCCCUUCAGUGCUGCAGCUAACGCAUUAAGCAUUCCGCCUGGGGAGUACGGCCGCAAGGCUGAAACUCAAAGGAAUUGACGGGGGCCCGCACAAGCGGUGGAGCAUGUGGUUUAAUUCGAAGCUACGCGAAGAACCUUACCAGGUCUUGACAUACUAUGCAAAUCUAAGAGAUUAGACGUUCCCUUCGGGGACAUGGAUACAGGUGGGGCAUGGUUGUCGUCAGCUCGUGUCGUGAGAUGUUGGGUUAAGUCCCGCAACGAGCGCAACCCUUAUUAUCAGUUGCCAGCAUUAAGUUGGGCACUCUGGUGAGACUGCCGGUGACAAACCGGAGGAAGGUGGGGAUGACGUCAAAUCAUCAUGCCCCUUAUGACCUGGGCUACACACGUGCUACAAUGGAUGGUACAACGAGUUGCGAACUCGCGAGAGUAAGCUAAUCUCUUAAAGCCAUUCUCAGUUCGGAUUGUAGGCUGCAACUCGCCUACAUGAAGUCGGAAUCGCUAGUAAUCGCGGAUCAUCAUGCCGCGGUGAAUACUUUCCCGGGCCUUGUACACACCGCCCGUCACACCAUGA
Molecule: ribosomal RNA, 1211 nt
Filed under: Lactiplantibacillus plantarum
Lineage: Bacteria; Bacillati; Bacillota; Bacilli; Lactobacillales; Lactobacillaceae
Description: bacterial SSU rRNA
Rfam family: Bacterial small subunit ribosomal RNA
Source: RNAcentral